GCAGUAGCGGCGGAGAGACGAGCCGUGCGCUCGAGCCGGCCACGUUGGUGGGAGCGCGCGCGGAUGCUGGAGAGCCUCGACGAGCCAACCGUGCUGAGUGUCGCGCGAACUGCCGAGAGAAACGGAUCGACGCUUCUGGGCGGAGUGAAUGUUGGCCUCGGCGGUUCCGUAACGGCCUGUAGAACACGGGGCCUGCAUAAUGCCACGCUGUGCGUGUACACGACCGCUUCUAAGGGCCGCCGACGGGUAGGGAUGACCGCAGGAUCCCGAGGGGUGCCACACCCCCUCUUCUGCCAUGGUACCGUCGAUGCAGAAGCACCCAGCGGGGGUCACCCGGUGCAUGAUACAGCCCUUCCAGGCCCCUGUCCUGGGUCCACACCGGUCACAUUCCCCACAGGAAUCGGAGUUUUUCUCCGUGGAUGAAAGGAAAUGGAACCCGGUUCGUAUCAGUAAACGUCGUCCGGCGUUCCAUCGUCGAUCGUGAACGUUAAAUGCACCGGCUACGUCGCGUCCAGGCAUUCCUAAGCGUCUGGGUGACGCUUACGAGGGAUCAAACGGGGCGCGUGGUCCGUCCACGGGGAUGCCAAACGGUCCAACGAUGAAAUUAGAGUAAGCGACGUUGUCGUCCGCAGGCCCAUGUCAAUGAGGCGGCCCGUGGGAUAAGCGGAAGGACGUGGAUGGAUCGUCUGAACGCCGUCGGAAAGACGUGGACGCCAAGAAGGACGAGAGUACAACCGGGAACGUCGUCGGUUGUACACGCAAUUACUCUCCCUCGUCAUAUCCGACGCCGGUCUUUUCAUUACCCUUCUAAAUGGCGCAUGAAGUAUACCUCUCUUUCUCUGCCUCCUCUCCCUCCCCCUUAUCUGGGACUCUGUGUCAGUUGAAAUGCCGCGGAUAGGUGAGCUUUCCAUCCGUCCCUGUUGCACUCCGUCUGUGUAUGGUACCACGUCGCGUAACGCGGCCACCGAGUCCAAUAAUUACUGGUACCCGGGGAACAAUGGGUCGUGCCUGUCAUAACUGUCAUCUGCGGCAAUGGCCUGGCGUUAUUUAAGGCCGGGGGGCUUAUUAACUGUAAUGACUGGCCGCGGAGACUUGUUUCGACUGACCCCAGCCUCGACGUUGGAGGAUACUUCUUGGUUGCUUUGAUGUUUCUUGGAAUGGGAGUAGUUGGGAAGAAAAUAUGAAUUGAGAAUUAUUAUGAAGGAAGCGAUAGUUGAGAAUUUUAUAAAUUUUAAUAAUUCAAAUUAUUCUUAAAUAUUGUUCUUUGAUUUGGUUCUUAAUUUUCUCGAUAACUUGUAAAAUUAUAAUUUUUAGAUGCGGUAGAAUUAAUAGAGAGACAAGAUUAAAAUUCGAGUAAAGAAAUUUUUGUAAUUAUGGAAUGCAGAUAUUUUUUUAGAUUAAUUAUUCUAUAUUAUAUUUUGAAGAAAAUGAUACGUUUGUUUGCAAUAAAAUAGAGAUAACGAUGCUUUGCAUAUAAUUUUCCAUUUCGCACUUCUAAUGUCAACAAUUCUUCAAUACAAAUUGUAGGUAUAUAUAUAUCAAUCUCAAAUAAAAUUUCAUUUCCAUUGUUAUGUAAGAAGAGACAUUUAUAUUGUUGUGAAAACAGAUAGUGUACACUUCGGAUAUUAGAGUAUUUAAAUAAGGAAUAUUAUAUUAUAUUAUAUCAUAUACUUCGAUGACAAUCGCUUGAAUAUUAAUUCUCUCAAUCCUCAAUUAUUUUUGAAUAUCGAAAGAGGUAUUGAAGGAUGCAAGUGAAAGGAUUAAACCUUGGAAUUAAACGUCGUUCGUAAAUUCGCGAACAUCUAUGCAAUAAAGAUGAUUAUUACGUUUAAUCCUUGGAAGAGAGAAAAAUUAAGAGUUCGUUUAUAUCGGAUUUAUUAAAUAUAAUUGUUAUCAAGGAUUAAAUCUUGAUAGCCUUAUGAUAAAUAAAUGAUCUCUCUCUGAAUUCUUUGAAGUUUUUAUACAUAUCUAAAAAAAGAUUGCUUAUGUAAAUUUAGCAAGGACAAUCCUUGGCAAAUAAUUUAUUCGCCGAGAAGAAAUUCACGUCGGCACUCACUGAGCAAGGACAAUCGUUAUCGAAACGCACGAGAGAGCCUUUCGGAAUCAUGAUGACCGUACGCAUUUUAUGAAGCUGUAACUUCAUGUCCAUGUCCUCGCUGCCGUACGAACUCGGCCGAAGUUAUGAUAACGUAUCAAACCGUGUUACAGCACUUUCGCGGAGGUAUCUUUAUUGGCCUCUUACUUAAUGGCUCGUGGGAAGGAUAGUAUAUUUACGCUAAUCGCCUGUUGCGGUAGCAAGCACAAACAGUAAGAAUGCCGGACCACGGUUACAUCCUGUGAAUACGUUUACUCUGUAUCAGUAACUCUGGAACACCAAAUACCUUUGAUCACAAUCGCUGAAAGCACUUUAGAAUUUUUCACCUGUCUUUAUAGUAAUAGAAUUUUCUUAUUUUGAAUUUUAUUAGCAACAGAUUCCUUGCUUUUAUCCAAUUUUUUAUAUGUAUUAUGAAUGCAAUGUAUCGAACAUCGUAUAAUUUUAAUUUAAGUAAAAAACUUUUUAAAUAUUUUCUAUACACAUUUUCUUUUAUCUUGGAAUAUUAAAUACCCAAACUGUUCUGUAAUCAGUGUCAUUUUACAUUAUUUACAUAUUUAUAUAUCAACAAAAACUAUUCGAACUAUAAUUACACCGUCGUAAAUUAUGUUCCAAGAUAUCUUAAGAAUUCUAUUUUUUAACCAGUGAAAUUUGCAUUCGUUCGAUACGAAUAAGAAUUUAUAAUUAAUUAUAAAUUCAAGAAAAUGAUCAAGAAAGUAUUAUUUAAAACCUAUCUAUUCUAUGUAACAAAACACAGAUAUUAAUUAAGAAUUUAAAACAUCCUAAACUGUACCCUACGAUCAUCAUCCCUGCAUAAGGGAUUAAAAUGCCGAAUUUCACCACUUGCCCUUUAUUAAAAGCUUCUCCUCAACUUACCCUCUUCUCACUCUCGCUGAAUCGUUAUCAUCAAGUGUCCCUAUCCUAUCCUGUCCCAUCCCAACCCCGAAAUUACUCAGGAAAUUCUAACCUUCCCCUAAAACCGAUCCCGACCGAUUCCAAAACGACUUCGGAACUCGAUCGGCAGAAUCCAACGAAUGCGCCCGGCCGACGGCGGAACAGGAGGCAGAAUCCGCGGUGAUCCACGUUCACGCGUGGUACGCUCGUUCGGUCGCGCUUCCGGGGCCGUGCACAAGCGGACGUUCCAUGGAACUCGGCGAGCGGAUGCGCUAUCGAAUCGGCUUGGUAGCCGGCGCAUGCCUCGCGCUCGUCAGAUUGUUCGGCUCGCGUUCGAGGCAACCGCAAAUCGAUAAGCGGUUAUCGCAUGGAACGACGACGAGGGAACCGGCUUCUUCGAGAGGGUAUGAGCGUUCCUGCAGCUCUUCUUUCGUCCACUUCGACCGAGUAUCGCGACGAUAACGCGCCAGGUACGCGCUUCCCAGACGCGCCGAGACGAUAAACUCUCUGAGAGAGGGUAGCUCUCUCUCUCUCUCUCUCUCGAGCGCGUCGGAAGGAAGCCUGCACUUUGUUAUUUUUGAAGAAGGAGAUUAGUGUGGGAUGAAUGUCGGCUGAUGGGAAGAACGUGGGACGGGGGUGGAAGGUUUUGGCUUUCUUUACAAGCUGUAUAAUGUAUGUUUCCAUGGUAUAUUUCAGGGAAGUAUGCGUGUAGGAAUCUUUAUGAUGUUUAGAUUUAAAGAGUAUUGUAUAUGCGUGAAGGGUUGAUGUUCUUGGUUUGAUCUUUUUUUUUUUUUUUUAGGAACGUGAGGAAGAUUGGGGAUGUGGAAAAGAUAACUGACAAUAUAAAUAAAUAAAUAAGAAAAUGUAAACAAAUAGUUAUAAACGUGUAAUGUAUAAUAUGUAUCUCUUUUUAUAAUCAUGCUCAUUAUUAUUUUCUUAUUUUUCGAUUUAGAUUCAUAAUAAAAUUUUACGUUUUCGAUUUUCAUUAUCUCGAUAUAAGUCACGUUUUUUAUCAUAUUUUAUUCAUUUUUCUUUAUCGAUUUGUUAAGUAAGUAAUAAAAAUAUAAUAAGAAUGAUAUUUAAACAUAUUUCUUUUUUAUUGCUUGUAAUAAAAAUAGUAAUCCUUGUUUGUGUAAGAGUGAUAUAAGUCUAAUAAUAAAAAUCAUCCACAGAAAAUUUGAUUAUGUAUUUUAAUUUUCCGGAAAAUUACUAUCUAAUGAUAUAACUUUAUAUAAUAGAUAUUAAUAAUGGUUUUCAUAAAAGAGAAACAUCAGUAGACACUUUUUAAUAUUAUUCCAUUAUCAAAUCUCUUCAUCUCCCAUUAUCUAAUAAUUACUUAACAUUAUUAAUGAUUACUAAUAAUAUUAUUUUAAUUUGAACCAUUUUUGCAUCAAGUGGCUCAUAUCAUGGUUCAUAACAUAAAAAAUAAACAAGCGAAUCGAGACUAAAACGAACAGCUUGACUAUUCAUAAUUUCUUCUGAUCUUUUUUUUAAAUAUAUCAAUACUAACUAUAAUUUUCUCUUUUUUAGAUGUCACAUAUGUCACCUUAGCGAGAAAUGCAAUAAAAAACAUUAUGCAUAUUAUCUAAAAUUUUUUUGUACAGUAAUAUCAUUUCAACGAUUACGCGACAAUGAAGGAGAUUUCACAUGGGCGAUCCAUCGAAUAAUCCACUAGCACUGGCUAUCGCGAGUUUUCCACACACGUGCCGUUAAAACGCCGACUGAAAUAGCCUAUUAAAAUGCUGACUGAGCCGGUGCAUUCGCCUUUAACAUGGCGGACAGCCGGCCCACCACCAAACUUUUAAUUCAAUUCGUGGCAGAGCGGAACGACUGCGAGUUUCGCGUCUCCGCUGUCGCCGGAACUCGAGCUGCGCGACGGAUGACCGGGAUGUUAACUCGAUUGGUUACCAUACUCUCUUCGCUCGUAAUGCGUUUAUCGAGCGGCUUAACGUUGCCAUAACCAGCGGCCACGAGGAUUCCUUUGUACAUUCUGCGACGAAUAUUUCCUCUCUUGUGCCCCUGGCGAUAAAACGGGUCAAUUCUCGAUCUCGUUUGUCAAGUUUUUAAUCGUGUUCGUUCUAAGACGAAUUUUUACUUUAUCCGAUUGUUCGAAUUUUGAUCUUUCUCGAAAUUUUUUUUUCGGAAACUUUGAAAAAGCUUAUUCGUUCUUUCUGUCUCUCAUUUAUUAUCAAUUUAUUAAGUAUCAAUCGUAUCGAUUAAUUCUUCAAUAGCAAUCAAAGUAUUGAAUAUUUUUCCAAAUGAAUUCAAAGAUAAUUGAGAUAAUUAAGAAACGCAUUAAUAACACGUCUUAUGAUAUUACGUAUGCUAUUGCGUGACUUUGUAGAAUACGAGCCGACGCAUUAUCGUAGUUUUAAAUCUGUUGGAAAUAAAUUAUAAUCACAAUCGAGCUAUUAUAACAUCAUUAUGCGUAUCGUUAUGCGCAUGUCACGUAUUUUUCACGUCAUUCCAAAAUUUCGUUUUUCAUUAUUUUAGCAUGAUGGAAAUAUAUCUUGUAGCCGUGAUGUCACGUGCCAUAAUUCAUAAUAUAAUAGCGUGUAAUUACGUGUGAUAUAAUUAAACGUGAUAUUAAUUUAUUACUAUCUUUAAAAUUCUGUCUUACAAUAGGUGUAAAAUAAUUAAAAUUCUAUUGUAUAUUUUGUAAUGUAUUGAAAUAAAAUAAAUCAAAAAUUAAGUGACAAAA
Long non-coding RNA from Apis cerana (Asiatic honeybee), 5687 nucleotides. RefSeq lists it as uncharacterized. The record is from RefSeq and is a predicted model, not a curated record. Lineage: Eukaryota; Metazoa; Arthropoda; Insecta; Hymenoptera; Apidae.